Molecule: ribosomal RNA, 1271 nt
Filed under: 'Cucumis sativus' phytoplasma
Lineage: Bacteria; Bacillati; Mycoplasmatota; Mollicutes; Acholeplasmatales; Acholeplasmataceae
Description: bacterial SSU rRNA
Rfam family: Bacterial small subunit ribosomal RNA
Source: RNAcentral
GGCGAACGGGUGAGUAACACGUAAGUAACCUGACUUUAAGACGAGGAUAACAAUUGGAAACGGUUGCUAAGACUGGAUACGAAACAAAAAGGCAUCUUUUUGUUUUUAAAAGACCUUCUUAUGAAGGUAUGCUUAAAGAGGGGCUUGCGCCACAUUAGUUAAUUGGUAGGGUAAAAGCCUACCAAGACGAUGAUGUGUAGCUGGACUGAGAGGUUGAACAACCACAUUGGGACUGAGACUCGGCCCAAACUCCUACGGGAGGCAGCAGUAGGGAAUUUUCGGCAAUGGAGGAAACUCUGACCGAGCAACGCCGCGUGAACGAUGAAGUAUUUCGGUAUGUAAAGUUCUUUUAUUGAAGAAGAAAAAGUAGUGGAAAAACUAUAUUGACGUUAUUCAAUGAAUAAGCCCCGGCUAACUAUGUGCCAGCAGCCGCGGUAAGACAUAAGGGGCUAGCGUUAUCCGGAAUUAUUGGGCGUAAAGGGUGCGUAGGCUGUUAGAUAAGUCUAUAAUUUAAUUUCAGUGCUUAACGCUGUCUUGUUAUACAACCUGUCUUGACUAGAGUGAGAUAGAGGCAAGCGGAAUUCCAUGUGUAGCGGUAAAAUGUGUAAAUAUAUGGAGGAACACCAGAAGCGUAGGCGGCUUGCUGGGUCUUUACUGACGCUGAGGCACGAAAGCGUGGGUAGCAAACAGGAUUAGAUACCCUGGUAGUCCACGCCGUAAACGAUGAGUACUAAGUGUCGGGGUAAAACUCGGUACUGAAGUUAACACAUUAAGUACUCCGCCUGAGUAGUACGUACGCAAGUAUGAAACUUAAAGGAAUUGACGGGACUCCGCACAAGCGGUGGAUCAUGUUGUUUAAUCCGAAGAUACACGAAAAAUCUUACCAGGUCUGGACAUACUCUGCAAAGCUAUAGAAAUAUAGUGGAGGUUAUCAGGGAUACAGGUGGUGCAUGGUUGUCGUCAGUUCGUGUCGUGAGAUGUUAGGUUAAGUCCUAAAACGAGCGCAACCCUUGUCGUUAAUUGCCAGCACGUAAUGGUGGGGACUUUAGCGAGACUGCCAAUUAAACAUUGGAGGAAGGUGAGGAUUACGUCAAAUCAUCAUGCCCCUUAUGAUCUGGGCUACAAACGUGAUACAAUGGCUGUGACAAAGAGUAGCUGAAACGCGAGUUUUUAGCCAAUCUCAAAAAAGCAGUCUCAGUUCGGAUUGAAGUCUGUAACUCGACUUCAUGAAGUUGGAAUCGCUAGUAAUCGCGAAUCAGCAUGUGGCGGUG